CGUGCCGUGAGGUGUUAGGUUAAGUCCUCGKAACGAGCGCAACCCUCGUCGUUAGUUACAAGUGUCUAACGAGACUGCCGGUGAUAAACCGGAGGAAGGUGGGGAUGACGUCAAGUCAGCAUGGCYUUUAUAUCCKGGGCUACACACACGCUACAAUGGCCGGUACAAUGGGUAGCCAAACCGCGAGGUGGAGCCAAUCCCGCAAAGCCGGUCWCAGUUCGGAUUGCAGNNGCUGCAACUCGCCUGCAUGAAGUCGGAGUUGCUAGU
Molecule: ribosomal RNA, 267 nt
Filed under: uncultured bacterium
Lineage: Bacteria
Description: partial 16S ribosomal RNA
Rfam family: Bacterial small subunit ribosomal RNA
Source: RNAcentral